CAUUGAUGUGCAGAAAAACGGCAUGUGUUUUAGAGACCAUGCAUUUCUAACGCCUGUUACCCUCUCACAAGUUUGAAACCGUUCUUCGUUCUUCGUUCUCUCUUUCAUCACACAAUCAUUCAACGUUCAUGUAUUCAGUAACGUAUAUAUACCUACCUUCAUUGUCAUCAUAAUGAACGAGUUUAUCAAACAUGGGUACAGGAAUAAACGAAUAAGGAUUGA
Molecule: long non-coding RNA, 222 nt
Organism: Patella vulgata (common limpet)
Lineage: Eukaryota; Metazoa; Mollusca; Gastropoda; Patellidae
Exons: 2
Source: RefSeq, a predicted model, not a curated record